UUAAGCGACUAAGCGUACACGGUGGAUGCCCUGGCAGUCAGAGGCGAUGAAGGACGUGCUAAUCUGCGAAAAGCGUCGGUAAGGUGAUAUGAACCGUUAUAGCCGGCGAUGUCCGAAUGGGGAAACCCAGUGUGAUUCGUCACACUAUCGUUAACUGAAUACAUAGGUUAACGAGGCGAACCGGGGGAACUGAAACAUCUAAGUACCCCGAGGAAAAGAAAUCAACCGAGAUUCCCCCAGUAGCGGCGAGCGAACGGGGAGCAGCCCAGAGUCUGAAUCAGCUUGUGUGUUAGUGGAACGGUCUGGAAAGUCCGACGGUACAGGGUGAUAGUCCCGUACACCAAAAUGCACAGGCUGUGAACUCGAAGAGUAGGGCGGGACACGUGGUAUCCUGUCUGAAUAUGGGGGGACCAUCCUCCAAGGCUAAAUACUCCUGACUGACCGAUAGUGAACCAGUACCGUGAGGGAAAGGCGAAAAGAACCCCGGCGAGGGGAGUGAAAAAGAACCUGAAACCGUGUACGUACAAGCAGUGGGAGCACCUUCGGGUGUGACUGCGUACCUUUUGUAUAAUGGGUCAGCGACUUAUAUUCUGUAGCAAGGUUAACCGUAUAGGGGAGCCGCAGGGAAACCGAGUCUUAACUGGGCGUUAAGUUGCAGGGUAUAGACCCGAAACCCGGUGAUCUAGCCAUGGGCAGGUUGAAGGUUGGGUAACACUAACUGGAGGACCGAACCGACUAAUGUUGAAAAAUUAGCGGAUGACUUGUGGCUGGGGGUGAAAGGCCAAUCAAACCGGGAGAUAGCUGGUUCUCCCCGAAAGCUAUUUAGGUAGCGCCUCGUGAAUUCAUCUUCGGGGGUAGAGCACUGUUUCGGCUAGGGGGUCAUCCCGACUUACCAACCCGAUGCAAACUACGAAUACCGAAGAAUGUUAUCACGGGAGACACACGGCGGGUGCUAACGUCCGUCGUGAAGAGGGAAACAACCCAGACCGCCAGCUAAGGUCCCAAAGUCAUGGUUAAGUGGGAAACGAUGUGGGAAGGCACAGACAGCCAGGAUGUUGGCUUAGAAGCAGCCAUCAUUUAAAGAAAGCGUAAUAGCUCACUGGUCGAGUCGGCCUGCGCGGAAGAUGUAACGGGGCUAAACCAUGCACCGAAGCUGCGGCAGCGACACUAUGUGUUGUUGGGUAGGGGAGCGUUCUGUAAGCCUGCGAAGGUGUGCUGUGAGGCAUGCUGGAGGUAUCAGAAGUGCGAAUGCUGACAUAAGUAACGAUAAAGCGGGUGAAAAGCCCGCUCGCCGGAAGACCAAGGGUUCCUGUCCAACGUUAAUCGGGGCAGGGUGAGUCGACCCCUAAGGCGAGGCCGAAAGGCGUAGUCGAUGGGAAACAGGUUAAUAUUCCUGUACUUGGUGUUACUGCGAAGGGGGGACGGAGAAGGCUAUGUUAGCCGGGCGACGGUUGUCCCGGUUUAAGCAUGUAGGCUGGUUAUCCAGGCAAAUCCGGAUAAUCAAGGCUGAGGUGUGAUGACGAGGCACUACGGUGCUGAAGUAACAAAUGCCCUGCUUCCAGGAAAAGCCUCUAAGCAUCAGGUAACAUCAAAUCGUACCCCAAACCGACACAGGUGGUCAGGUAGAGAAUACCAAGGCGCUUGAGAGAACUCGGGUGAAGGAACUAGGCAAAAUGGUGCCGUAACUUCGGGAGAAGGCACGCUGGUGUGUAGGUGAAGUCCCUGCGGAUGGAGCUGAGACCAGUCGAAGAUACCAGCUGGCUGCAACUGUUUAUUAAAAACACAGCACUGUGCAAACACGAAAGUGGACGUAUACGGUGUGACGCCUGCCCGGUGCCGGAAGGUUAAUUGAUGGGGUUAUCCGUAAGGAGAAGCUCUUGAUCGAAGCCCCGGUAAACGGCGGCCGUAACUAUAACGGUCCUAAGGUAGCGAAAUUCCUUGUCGGGUAAGUUCCGACCUGCACGAAUGGCGUAAUGAUGGCCAGGCUGUCUCCACCCGAGACUCAGUGAAAUUGAACUCGCUGUGAAGAUGCAGUGUACCCGCGGCAAGACGGAAAGACCCCGUGAACCUUUACUAUAGCUUGACACUGAACAUUGAGCCUUGAUGUGUAGGAUAGGUGGGAGGCUUUGAAGCGUGGACGCCAGUCUGCGUGGAGCCAACCUUGAAAUACCACCCUUUAAUGUUUGAUGUUCUAACGUUGGCCCCUUACCGGGGUUGCGGACAGUGUCUGGUGGGUAGUUUGACUGGGGCGGUCUCCUCCCAAAGCGUAACGGAGGAGCACGAAGGUUAGCUAAUCCUGGUCGGACAUCAGGAGGUUAGUGCAAUGGCAUAAGCUAGCUUGACUGCGAGCGUGACGGCGCGAGCAGGUGCGAAAGCAGGUCAUAGUGAUCCGGUGGUUCUGAAUGGAAGGGCCAUCGCUCAACGGAUAAAAGGUACUCCGGGGAUAACAGGCUGAUACCGCCCAAGAGUUCAUAUCGACGGCGGUGUUUGGCACCUCGAUGUCGGCUCAUCACAUCCUGGGGCUGAAGUAGGUCCCAAGGGUAUGGCUGUUCGCCAUUUAAAGUGGUACGCGAGCUGGGUUUAGAACGUCGUGAGACAGUUCGGUCCCUAUCUGCCGUGGGCGCUGGAGAAUUGAGGGGGGCUGCUCCUAGUACGAGAGGACCGGAGUGGACGCAUCACUGGUGUUCGGGUUGUCAUGCCAAUGGCACUGCCCGGUAGCUAAAUGCGGAAGAGAUAAGUGCUGAAAGCAUCUAAGCACGAAACUUGCCCCGAGAUGAGUUCUCCCUGAGACU
RNAcentral lists this ribosomal RNA (2792 nucleotides) under Klebsiella pneumoniae. RNAcentral's name for it is "bacterial LSU rRNA". It matches the Rfam family "Bacterial large subunit ribosomal RNA". The record is from RNAcentral. Lineage: Bacteria; Pseudomonadati; Pseudomonadota; Gammaproteobacteria; Enterobacterales; Enterobacteriaceae.